GGCAGCUUGGAAGAAGCCACUGGCUUGGUCAUCAUAUUUAUUAUCAGUAGAACAGGAGAUAAAGUAAAAGUGUCAGAACUCGUGAAGGAGGUGGCAAAAUUUGAUGACUUCAUGCUCUUGGAUAUCAAAGAGGAGUACAGUUGUCCUUCUUUAAAGCCGCCUAUGCACUUUAUGAUUCUGAAUUCUAUGUCAAAGCUGAUGCCGACAUAUUUUUGAGGCCAGGGUUUUGGAUCUCGAUGUGCAAGACAAGGGCGUCUCCUUCAACUUGCUUGUGUUCAACUCGUAUAUUGAAUGUUUACAUAAUGCGCCAGUCAAAAGAAACUCUCAAAGGGAUGAGUCUAUCUUCUUAUUCUAUGCUUGAACAUUUACAGGAAGGGAAGGAGUUUGUGUUUAAACUCAAUCUGGGUAACCACAAAAUGUGUGGACUUAUUCGAAAUUAUGUUGUUGCCUUCACUUUUACGUCAGAUUUUAACUUGAAAA
Long non-coding RNA from Daucus carota subsp. sativus, 480 nucleotides. RefSeq lists it as uncharacterized. The transcript has 3 exons. NCBI's taxonomy places the organism in Eukaryota, Viridiplantae, Streptophyta, Magnoliopsida, Apiales, Apiaceae. The record is from RefSeq and is a predicted model, not a curated record.